GGCUGGUCCAAGUGAAGUGCAGUGAUGUUUAAAACUCAUUGAUCACAGUCAGUUACAGUUUUCUUUGUUUUUUUCUCCACUCACACUGCAUUACAUGACUAGCCUUCA
This is an unclassified non-coding RNA of Homo sapiens (human), 108 nucleotides long. It matches the Rfam family "Y RNA". From Rfam's summary of the family: Y RNAs are components of the Ro ribonucleoprotein particle (Ro RNP), in association with Ro60 and La proteins. The record is from Ensembl. NCBI's taxonomy places the organism in Eukaryota, Metazoa, Chordata, Mammalia, Primates, Hominidae.